Molecule: long non-coding RNA, 292 nt
Filed under: Manihot esculenta (cassava)
Lineage: Eukaryota; Viridiplantae; Streptophyta; Magnoliopsida; Malpighiales; Euphorbiaceae
Description: long non-coding RNA (MESC_LNC007550)
Source: RNAcentral
GUCCAUACUGGUUCCGGAGAUUUGUUUUCUAUGGUCUUGUGCUCUUGUUUCUGCCAUUGUGCUGUGGUCUUCUGCCUUUUGCUGGUCCUGGUGAAUGGAGAAAUCACUUCUUGACGUGUGCCUCAAAUUUUCUCUCAUCCUACCAACUUGGUGAAUGGAGAAAUCACUUCUUGACGUGUGCCUCAAAUUUUCUCUCAUCCUACCAACUGGUUGAUUAUGACCUUUAUGUGUAAUUUUCUCUACAUUUGCCGAGCUUUCUCCUUGGUAAUUAUGUAGGCAGCUGCUUUUAUUU